RNAcentral lists this non-coding RNA (110 nucleotides) under uncultured Alterileibacterium sp. RNAcentral describes it as "FMN riboswitch (RFN element)". It matches the Rfam family "FMN riboswitch aptamer (RFN element)". Rfam says of the family: The RFN element is a highly conserved domain that is found frequently in the 5'-untranslated regions of prokaryotic mRNAs that encode for flavin mononucleotide (FMN) biosynthesis and transport proteins. This element is a metabolite-dependent riboswitch that directly binds FMN in the absence of proteins. In Bacillus subtilis, the riboswitch most likely controls gene expression by causing premature transcription termination within the 5' untranslated region of the ribDEAHT operon and precluding access to the ribosome-binding site of ypaA mRNA. The record is from RNAcentral. Lineage: Bacteria; Bacillati; Bacillota; Clostridia; Peptostreptococcales; Anaerovoracaceae.
UUAUCUUCAGGGCAGGGUGAGAUUCCCGAUCGGCGGUAAAGUCCGCUAGCUUAUGGCAUGAACCGGUGAGAUUCCGGUACCGACAGUUACAGUCUGGAUGGAAGAAGAUU